RNAcentral lists this ribosomal RNA (1343 nucleotides) under uncultured bacterium. RNAcentral describes it as "16S ribosomal RNA". It matches the Rfam family "Bacterial small subunit ribosomal RNA", at positions 28 to 1378 of the family's 1533-position model. The record is from RNAcentral.
GACGAACGCUUGCGGCGUGCUUAACACAUGCAAGUCGAACGGAAAGGCCCUGCUUUUGUGGGGUGCUCGAGUGGCGAACGGGUGAGUAACACGUGAGUAACCUGCCCUUGACUUUGGGAUAACUUCAGGAAACUGGGGCUAAUACCGGAUAGGAGCUCCUGCUGCAUGGUGGGGGUUGGAAAGUUUCGGCGGUUGGGGAUGGACUCGCGGCUUAUCAGCUUGUUGGUGGGGUAGUGGCUUACCAAGGCUUUGACGGGUAGCCGGCCUGAGAGGGUGACCGGCCACAUUGGGACUGAGAUACGGCCCAGACUCCUACGGGAGGCAGCAGUGGGGAAUAUUGCACAAUGGGCGGAAGCCUGGUGCAGCAACGCCGCGUGCGGGAUGACGGCCUUCGGGUUGUAAACCGCUUUCGCCUGUGACGAAGCGUGAGUGACGGUAAUGGGUAAAGAAGCACCGGCUAACUACGUGCCAGCAGCCGCGGUGAUACGUAGGGUGCGAGCGUUGUCCGGAUUUAUUGGGCGUAAAGGGCUCGUAGGUGGUUGAUCGCGUCGGAAGUGUAAUCUUGGGGCUUAACCCUGAGCGUGCUUUCGAUACGGGUUGACUUGAGGAAGGUAGGGGAGAAUGGAAUUCCUGGUGGAGCGGUGGAAUGCGCAGAUAUCAGGAGGAACACCAGUGGCGAAGGCGGUUCUCUGGGCCUUUCCUGACGCUGAGGAGCGAAAGCGUGGGGAGCGAACAGGCUUAGAUACCCUGGUAGUCCACGCUGUAAACGGUGGGUACUAGGUGUGGGGUCCAUUCCACGGGUUCCGUGCCGUAGCUAACGCUUUAAGUACCCCGCCUGGGGAGUACGGCCGCAAGGCUAAAACUCAAAGGAAUUGACGGGGCCCCGCACAAGCGGCGGAGCAUGCGGAUUAAUUCGAUGCAACGCGUAGAACCUUACCUGGGUUUGACAUGGAUCGGGAGUGCUCAGAGAUGGGUGUGCCUCUUUUGGGGUCGGUUCACAGGUGGUGCAUGCCUGUCGUCAGCUCGUGUCGUGAGAUGUUGGGUUAAGUCCCGCAACGAGCGCAACCCUUGUUCACUGUUGCCAGCACGUUAUGGUGGGGACUCAGUGGAGACCGCCGGGGUCAACUCGGAGGAAGGUGGGGAUGACGUCAAGUCAUCAUGCCCCUUAUGUCCAGGGCUUCACGCAUGCUACAAUGGCUGGUACAGAGAGUGGCGAGCCUGUGAGGGUGAGCGAAUCUCGGAAAGCCGGUCUCAGUUCGGAUUGGGGUCUGCAACUCGACCUCAUGAAGUCGGAGUCGCUAGUAAUCGCAGAUCAGCAACGCUGCGGUGAAUACGUUCCCGGG